GUUCGGGACAUCACUAGAGGGGACUGCUAGUGCUGUGUAACUUGAUUGAUGGCUAAAGGUUUCCAGCACUCGACUUACAUAUAACGAGGUCUGACAAAUAGGAAAAGGUUUUAAGUUAAAAAUAUUACCACUGCGGAGCAAGAUUUAAAUGUGGUUAGUCCAGACUGUGACGUUAUGUUAGGGUUGGGCUGUAAAAAAACAGAUAACGCAGUACUCAUUGCAGAUAAGCAGAAACAACCAGCUUUCUUGGCUUGAGUGUGGCUUAAUGUAACAUUCUAAAUAUCAAUACAAGUUUGUUCUAAUUAUUACUAUUAUUAUUGAAUAAUGUAAUAAAUCUAGAGUGAUUUGCUAUCUUCAGCAUAUUAUAUUGUGAUUUGUUCAUUUAAAUUUGGACCAUUAAUUAUAUCUUACUUAUGUAAAACAUAUGGAUUUUUUUUUAAUAACAUCCCAUUUCAGCCCUGGAAGCUAAUUAGCAUUCUGAGAUUGCGCUCAUAGGAGCUAAUUAACCUUAUGGUAUUAAAUUAG
Non-coding RNA from Pelobates cultripes (western spadefoot toad), 525 nucleotides. Lineage: Eukaryota; Metazoa; Chordata; Amphibia; Anura; Pelobatidae. The record is from the annotation of a GenBank genome assembly.